RNAcentral lists this ribosomal RNA (154 nucleotides) under uncultured bacterium. RNAcentral describes it as "partial 16S ribosomal RNA". The record is from RNAcentral.
CGGAAGCAUCGCAACAUCAUAAAGAACACGUUGCCGUAGGGGCAGACAGUGCCGGAAGGCACGGGAUGCCGUGGAGGCAGGUCAAGCUUAGUGAUGUGGGGAGGAGCUGCCGAAGGUGGAGCCAUUAACUGGGGUGAAGUCGUAACAAGGUAUC